This 523-nucleotide long non-coding RNA is filed under the name Marmota monax (woodchuck). The record is from RNAcentral. Lineage: Eukaryota; Metazoa; Chordata; Mammalia; Rodentia; Sciuridae.
GUAAAGUCAAUCUAGUUUCUUUUUCUGUAGCAAAGGAGGAAGGAACAAACAACAAAUUAAUCAGACAGGAAGCGAAUACCGCAGAAGGACGUCUGCCUCUGACUCAGUGUGUCACACUGAACAGGCCAGAGCUGGUCCAAAAUGGCUGACCAGGCAGGACCCCAUCUCUGCUUUGGAAGAUGAUGCCUUGUUCAGGGGUGGUUUUCUCUCUCAGCUCAUGUCUUGCUUGUUCUCUGUCUGCCUGUGUCCCUGAUAAUGCCUUCCUACAGUUCCUUUUAACGGUAAGAGAAAUCGUAUUCAAACUGAAUUUAUUUUAUCAGUGAGAGGGAAGAACUAAACGGUUUUUAAUGGGCCAUCAUAUGUGGAGAUGCAAUUAUUUAACUUUUCGGUAGAAGACCAUGUGAUUUUUUUUCCUGUUGCCCAUUUUGGUGAUUGUGGGUGAUUGACAACUUGUGUUUUUAGCCAAGCUGUAAGCAAGAUUUGAAGUAGAAUUUUCCUGACCAUUGGACAGAUUUGGAUCUAG